Vespula vulgaris is the source of this 3541-nucleotide long non-coding RNA. RefSeq lists it as uncharacterized. Lineage: Eukaryota; Metazoa; Arthropoda; Insecta; Hymenoptera; Vespidae. The transcript is spliced from 4 exons. The record is from RefSeq and is a predicted model, not a curated record.
AGAGAUACGACAAGACUUGCCACAGCCAAAGGUGCAUCAAUCGCUUGUGUAGAUGCCUCUCACAAGAGAAAGAAUGGUCAUUUUGGUCAAUCAAGGACCAAUGGGCCAGAUUUUCUUUCACCAAACACUCUCCUAUGUAUUAAAGAAAACAGUUCUUGAUCGAAAAGAAAAAGAGUUUAUACGCGAAGCGCGUGGCGUACCGGAAGUGUAAAGAAAUUGUGAGGCUGCGACAGAUGAAUGUCCAGAAAGUUGAUCGUCUUUUGUAGGACCAAGUCUUUCUGUAACAAUUGGAGCACUUAAGCUUGCAAAAAUUAUCGGUGUUGCCGGAGGUUUGACAAACUUGCUUUUUCAAAAGUGACGAACACAAUCAACCACUUGUAUGGCAAUGGUGUAAUGUAUAUUCGCAAUUGAAUUAUUUCAGGAUUUACAAAGAGAAACGGCAAGACUUGCCAAAGAUGCAUCAACUCCUGUAGUGAUAUCGAUGCUUCUCAGAAAGAUUCUCCAUUUUUUUUUAUUCCUCUGGCACAUCACGCGUUUCGCAUAUAGCUUCUUUUCUUCUACGCAUAAUAACUCCGCUAGUGAGCAUAUAUAAUGACAAAAUGAAAUAGAUGAUAACCUUGAAUUGUAUACACGAGGAAUAGUCCCGCGUAGACACAGUAAUAACCGUAAGAGUAGAGUAGUCGGUGGAAAAGCAACGAUGUCAGAUACGCAUAAUUGUAAUUUAAAAAAAUGGGUGAAACCUAAUUGUCAUUCCAUUUUAUAUGUUCCUACCUUAUUUAGGUCGAGUUAAUUCGGGAAAAAUGUUUCUUCGUAUUCCUAUAUUGGCUGAUGACAUUAUUCCGGGUCCAUAACUUUAGUAAUGUCCAACAAUCAAUUUGGUAAUCAAACGCCGCGCGUUUGAAAGUUGAGUUUUUGUGGAAUAUUUUUCGAGAGGUUUUUUCGAAUUCGUGUAUUUGUUUAAAAGUUAUCACGCCUUAUAAGUGAGAUAGAACAAAGAAGAUGUAUUUUGAAAUUUUAUUACGAGGAAAAGAAUAAUGCCACUCCAACUCUUGAAAAAAUUUAGAAUCGAUGCGUUAUAAAUGGACAUCGCACAUGGUUAUAUCAAACGUUUCCAAUAUGGAAGAUAUGAUGUAGUGGUGGAAGACAUAGACUAGGAACCAACCAUCGGUCACAAAACAGUUCUACAUCAUUUGAAGAAUGCUGGAUGUAAAAAGAUAUCCAAUGUUCAUGUUCCAUAUGAUCAAAUAGUGAAGCGUUUAAUGAAUUUCUGUCUGCGAAUCGUUAUUAGGACCUAACGAAACCGAUGCACUCUUGAAACGGGCCAUUAUGUGCGAUAAUCUAUGAAAAGGAUCAUGAUCCAUGGAAGGAGAAUCAACCGUUGUCGCGCCGUUCAAACUAUUGAUCAUAAUCUCUUCUCUAAACAAUCGGAAAAUGAUUUGCUUUUGCAUUGAAAUACGAAGAAACCUUUUCCUCUAACUUAAUAUCUUGAUUAGUAAUGUCAUUGGUUGAUAUCAUUCCUUUAUGGAAAUUAACUCGAAUUAUUUCAGUAAUAUAGUCAAAGGUAUUUAUCUUGCUUAACAAUGUGAAUGAAUGACAUUACUGAUAGGAUCAUUAUAUUACAUAUAGAUUAUACACGUAUAUCAUACACGUAAUUAAUUAUAUCUAAUUAAAUGUUAUAAUAAUAAUAAAUAUAUUUCAACAUACGAUUUAUCGAUAUUCUGUGUAGCAAAACUGACUAGAGAAUUAACCUGAAGUAUCAGGUUAAUUCGAGCUUUUAAUCAAGAUUUUUGAGUCAAUGAAAUUAAGAUCAAAUUCUGUGGCAGAUUGAAAAUAUUCAAAUGUCGUAGAUAAUUGAAGGAAUAGCAAAUAUCGACUAACAUUUCAGUUUGCAGUUAUAACAUCGACAUCGCGUAGAUUUACGCCCGUUACAGACAGAUAUCACUCACUCGGAAUAAAUAUGAAAUGGAUCGUUACAAUUUCCCAAUGCAUGUUUAUUUGUUUUUUCCUUCUUUGUCUUUUUUCUCCCUUUAAUCUCUUUCUUUUAAUUCUUUUUCUGUUUUCCUUUGUUCUGAUUUUAAUUUUUUUUAAUUUUCUUUUCCUCUUUUAGAUUUUAAUCUUUCUUUUGAUUCUAAUUUAUUUUGUAAUCUUUUUCGUUUUUUUCUUUUUGGUAGUAAUUUCUUUUUCUCCUGCAAAGGGUUAAUUUAAACUUUUUGCUAAAUAUUUACAUCUGUAUUAUAGACGUUAUGGGUACAGGUCCGUUAUAGUUAUUCAUUAAUAUUAAUACAUACAAACAUAUACAACUACAUGUACAUAUGUAUGACCAUCCAAUGUAGCCAAACUUUAUAAUGUCGAAACUAAAGGUGCUAAUUUUGUUUCUUACGUAUCCACUUAUAUGUGAGUACUUACACGUAAUUUAAAAAAUGUUUUAAACCAAACUCCUUCAACAUGUGAGUAAGGGUCGAAGUGAAACAAAAAUAAAAUGAAAGAAAAAAACGAAUACGAGAAAGUAUACGGAAAUAGUAUGAGAAUAAGUGAGAUGGAUCGUUAACUUCACUUAUUUCAUUACGUUUUCGUUCUUCCAGUUCAUAGAAGAAAAAGAAAGAGCGAAAGAGAUACAGCAGAGUAUAGAGAAAAUCAAAAUUAAUAGUAUUCAAUAAAUGUUUACAUUAGUAUUUGUAGUUAAAUAUCAGUACGUGGUAUAAAUGGUUAAUAUAUAAUAAAUAGUAAAAUGUCGUGUCAGUGUUGCGUCAGGAUUUAUUGUAAAUUCUCAUCUACCUUUUUAGAAUAAUAAUAAAUUAUUACGCCCACAAUUGUUUCAAUUAAAAUUCUUAUAGUUUUUGUAUCAAUCGGUUUAAUACCUACCACUUAUACCACGUAUUGAUAAUUCAUUAUUAAUGAUGACCAUUAAUUUAUUUAAAUUACCGAUUAAAAAUGUUGAAAAAUAUUCAUCUAAUAAUUAGAAACUUUAAUUAAAAUAGAAAUAGAACUUUGCUUUUGUCGUGUGAUAUCGUGUGAUACGCACGAUCAGGUUUAUUUUCUUUUUUGUGAAAUGAAUGAACGUCUUUUGAUUUUUUAAUUACCUACCUCCUGCUCUAGAAAUAUCACAUAUUUCGUUUGAAUCGUAAACGAUACAAUAUCAUGAAUUCUUUUGAUAUCAAUAUUUAACGUGAAACCGUAAAGUACUGAUACAAGCGACGAUUAAUUCCAUAAAUGCUUGUAGGUGUCGUUAUCUGAUUGUUUGCGUCUUUGAACUUAUGCGUAAAGAAAGCAGUGCUUUUGUAUAAAAACAAUUUUGCAAAUAUGGAGAGAAAAGGAAUAGAAAGCUUCUUGCGGAAAGGACGAUAUUUUAAAAUCUUGUUUAAUCCCUUCGAUCAUUUCGAGACUAUACGAAUUUGUAGAUAUUAGAGUUUAGUCGUUCAGUAAAUCCUCCGACCAACUUAAAACGUCAUACGUCGAGUUUGUGAUGUAUCAGACGAUUCGUAGGACACGUAGGAUACGAGGUAAUUCGCGCUUUAUCAAUGGUUAAGCUAACUCGAAAUGA